RNAcentral lists this long non-coding RNA (256 nucleotides) under Malus domestica (apple). RNAcentral's name for it is "long non-coding RNA (MDOM_LNC018331)". The record is from RNAcentral. Lineage: Eukaryota; Viridiplantae; Streptophyta; Magnoliopsida; Rosales; Rosaceae.
AUGGUUUGUAAGAAAAUGUUUUGUAAAACAUUUAUGAGUUUAGACAAACAUUAAAGCCAAAAUAAAUGCUUCACCAAUAACUUUCACCCAUCAAAAUUAAACCAAAACUUUAUGAAAAACAUAAAACUUUUGAAUCAAAACUUCAAAACCUUUUUGUUCUUGGCAAGAACUUCAAGAACAUUUGAAGAACACCAUGAAAACUCAUAAUAGCUCCAUGAAUGUUUUCAUUCACCAAAACUCAAUUUUUCACCACUCA